This 74-nucleotide transfer RNA is filed under the name Chloroflexota bacterium. RNAcentral describes it as "tRNA-Gly". It matches the Rfam family "tRNA". From Rfam's summary of the family: Transfer RNA (tRNA) molecules are approximately 80 nucleotides in length. Their secondary structure includes four short double-helical elements and three loops (D, anti-codon, and T loops). Further hydrogen bonds mediate the characteristic L-shaped molecular structure. tRNAs have two regions of fundamental functional importance: the anti-codon, which is responsible for specific mRNA codon recognition, and the 3' end, to which the tRNAs corresponding amino acid is attached (by aminoacyl-tRNA synthetases). tRNAs cope with the degeneracy of the genetic code in two manners: having more than one tRNA (with a specific anti-codon) for a particular amino acid; and 'wobble' base-pairing, i.e. permitting non-standard base-pairing at the 3rd anti-codon position. Lineage: Bacteria; Bacillati; Chloroflexota. The record is from RNAcentral. RNAcentral also lists the same sequence under 1 other name.
GCGGGAGUGGCGUAGUGGUAGCGCAAAAGCCUUCCAAGCUUUUGGCGAGGGUUCGAUUCCCUCCUCCCGUACCA